Long non-coding RNA from Drosophila santomea, 604 nucleotides. RefSeq lists it as uncharacterized. The transcript is spliced from 3 exons. Lineage: Eukaryota; Metazoa; Arthropoda; Insecta; Diptera; Drosophilidae. The record is from RefSeq and is a predicted model, not a curated record.
AACAGAGCUAAUUCACCGGCUUUGAUGUGGUGGAAGGAAUUUCAAGGGUUCCUGUGCCAAAAAUAUAAAACUAUCACACAUAAUAGUCAUACAUCAUGUCACGAUAGUCAUCGAUAGUUGUGGGCAAACGAGAAUUUUCGCUAAGACGCGACAUGGUCAUACUGAAGGAAAAUUGUAACAUAAUGAUGAUAACUGACUGCUGACUUUGACAGCGAAAACGGCGAAGCAAAAAUGGGAAAUAGCCGCCAUUUUGAUCCUCUACAGUUGCACAUACACACACUUGGCAAUCGAAGUGCUGUCUUAUUGCCUGCGAUCUUUAAUGAGCCGCGUUAAUGGCUUGCGAUCUUUGCUUAUAAGGCUAGUUAGGAGAUGAUCGUUCAGAUCUGUAGACUUCGAAUUCAUCUGUAUUAUCAUCGGACUUCCAAGUGAAUUACUAAUCUUUUUCCUGCGAUUCAAUUGGAUUGCCAGAGCAUCCGAGCUUGUGUCUCUAUUUUUCAAUCAACAUCAGCGGAGUAGAUAACGCGACACGACAGUCGAAAGACGAAAGACGAAAGACGCCACUUACACAGAACAAACAAUUCGAUGGGUUGUGGGUAAAUACAAA